This 299-nucleotide signal recognition particle RNA is filed under the name Saimiri boliviensis boliviensis (Bolivian squirrel monkey). RNAcentral describes it as "Metazoan signal recognition particle RNA (ENSSBOG00000006591.1)". It matches the Rfam family "Metazoan signal recognition particle RNA". From Rfam's summary of the family: The signal recognition particle (SRP) is a universally conserved ribonucleoprotein. It is involved in the co-translational targeting of proteins to membranes. The record is from RNAcentral. Lineage: Eukaryota; Metazoa; Chordata; Mammalia; Primates; Cebidae.
GCUGGGCAUGGUGGCGCAUGCCUGUAGUACCAGCUACUCGGGAGGCUGAGGUGGGAGGAUCGCUUGAGCCCAGGAGUUCUGGGCUGUAGUCCGCUAUGCGGAUCAGAUAUCCACGCUAAGUUCAGCAUCAACGUGGUGACCUCCCGGGAGCAGGGGACCACCAGGUUGCCUAAGGAGGGGUGAACUGGCCCAGGUCGGAAAUGGAGCAGGUCAAAACUCCUGUGCUGAUUAGUAGUGGGAUCAUGCCUGUGAAUAGCCACUGCACUCCAGCCUGGGCAACACAGGGAGACCCCGUCUCU